GUGUAUGUAUGAUCAUAAAUUAUGACUGAGAAUUCUAUUUUAGCAUUUUGUGGAUCCCAGUGGUCCCACUGAGGAAUAUCCAGAUCCAAUACCUUCUGAUGGUUCAAACAUUAGAAAAAGCAGACGUCAUUGGAGAGAACGAAGCGGGCCAUACCAUAAUAUUCAACAAAAUUCACAUACAACAACUGCAAGUGAUACAUGUACAACCUCGCCUAAAGAAUGUAUUGAUGAGAUUGGGGAGUCGUCAUUGGAUAGGGGGCCAACUCCAGCUGAAAAUUGUUUUGAAGGGCUAUCAUUACUUGCAGAUUCAUGUUAGAUAGACCAUCUAAUGCAGAAAAAGCUACAAGAGACAGAGGAAAAACUUCAUCAUCAGACAAUUCUUAACCAGCAUUUAAACUUACAAUUAUCAACCGUUCGAAAUCAACCAGAAGUUCAAAUUGAA
This is a long non-coding RNA of Magallana angulata, 442 nucleotides long. RefSeq lists it as uncharacterized. The record is from RefSeq and is a predicted model, not a curated record. Lineage: Eukaryota; Metazoa; Mollusca; Bivalvia; Ostreida; Ostreidae. The transcript has 3 exons.